Molecule: long non-coding RNA, 166 nt
Organism: Suncus etruscus (white-toothed pygmy shrew)
Lineage: Eukaryota; Metazoa; Chordata; Mammalia; Eulipotyphla; Soricidae
Exons: 3
Source: RefSeq, a predicted model, not a curated record
CAACACUUCCAAGGCCUAUAAAGACUUCAGCACAUCCUUCGAGAAACAGAUGAAGGAGAUUUACAAGAAUGUUCCCGAGUAUAAUGGCGUGGAGAUCCGGUCUCUGAGUGCAGGCAGCAUCGUGGUGGACUAUAUUGUCCUGCUAAAGCUGCCCUUUAGCACCGAC